UGUAAUUCAGUCGAGCAAAACGCUAGAGCGUCCGACUCACCAUAACCAAUCCUACUUAUUUCCUGCAACAAAUUAUUAACAAGUACUCAAUCUCAUUGAUAGUCAAAUUUCCCUAACACAUGUAAUAUCUAUGGCAUCUAGACUAUUACGUAUAUCUCAAUUUGCAACCAUCCAUGGCAUCUGGAAUAGUUUAACAUCAUGAAACUCAUUACGAUCACUGGAAAUUUAUAUAAAGACUACACAAAUCCUAGAGUAUGGCAUCUACUACUAGGUAAUUCAUGGUAUCUAUUUGCAAGAAGCUAUCACUCAAGUUGAAAACAUGGCAUCUGCA
This 331-nucleotide long non-coding RNA is filed under the name Malus domestica (apple). RNAcentral describes it as "long non-coding RNA (MDOM_LNC003863)". Lineage: Eukaryota; Viridiplantae; Streptophyta; Magnoliopsida; Rosales; Rosaceae. The record is from RNAcentral.